This is an unclassified non-coding RNA of Nomascus leucogenys (northern white-cheeked gibbon), 77 nucleotides long. The record is from Ensembl. Lineage: Eukaryota; Metazoa; Chordata; Mammalia; Primates; Hylobatidae.
UAGAGAUUGAAUCACUCUGGGUCAGCUGACAAAAUAAGAUUCUGGUGCUGAAAAGCUGAGUGUGAUAAUGAUAUUAA